AGCAGGAGAUGCAACAACUACCACUGGCAGCCCACAACAGUGCAACCCCCGAUCAACUUCGCCACCACCCACUACUGAAGGAAACGAGCAACCCGGUGAAGAUUGUCACGUCAUUCAAGAAAAUGUCCAAGCCUCUAACCGCCAUGAUGAAUCAUCCUCACCACCCUCCGAUCCAGAUCCCUUCGCUGAAGACUUCCCAUUAGAUGAAGAUUUGAUGGGGAGUAAUAAUAAUAAUG
Molecule: long non-coding RNA, 236 nt
Organism: Macrobrachium nipponense
Lineage: Eukaryota; Metazoa; Arthropoda; Malacostraca; Decapoda; Palaemonidae
Exons: 3
Source: RefSeq, a predicted model, not a curated record